RNAcentral lists this ribosomal RNA (652 nucleotides) under uncultured Methylococcaceae bacterium. RNAcentral describes it as "bacterial SSU rRNA". It matches the Rfam family "Bacterial small subunit ribosomal RNA", at positions 77 to 726 of the family's 1533-position model. Lineage: Bacteria; Pseudomonadati; Pseudomonadota; Gammaproteobacteria; Methylococcales; Methylococcaceae. The record is from RNAcentral.
CCUUCGGGCGCCGACGAGUGGCGGACGGGUGAGUAAUGCGUAGGAAUCUGCCUUGUUGUGGGGGAUAACUCGGGGAAACUCGAGCUAAUACCGCAUACGCUCCACGGAGGAAAGCGGGGGAUCUUCGGACCUCGCGCAAUAAGAUGAGCCUACGUCGGAUUAGCUGGUUGGUGGGGUAAAGGCCCACCAAGGCGACGAUCCGUAGCUGGUCUGAGAGGACGAUCAGCCACACUGGGACUGAGACACGGCCCAGACUCCUACGGGAGGCAGCAGUGGGGAAUAUUGGACAAUGGGCGCAAGCCUGAUCCAGCAAUGCCGCGUGUGUGAAGAAGGCCUGCGGGUUGUAAAGCACUUUAAGCAGGAAAGAAGGGUGGGGUGUUAAUACCAUCUCACAUUGACGUUACCUGCAGAAUAAGCACCGGCUAACUCCGUGCCAGCAGCCGCGGUAAUACGGAGGGUGCGAGCGUUAAUCGGAAUUACUGGGCGUAAAGCGUGCGUAGGCGGUUGGAUAAGUCUGAUGUGAAAGCCCUGGGCUUAACCUGGGAAUGGCAUUGGAUACUGUCGGACUGGAGUGUGGUAGAGGGUAGUGGAAUUUCCGGUGUAGCAGUGAAAUGCGUAGAGAUCGGAAGGAACACCAGUGGCGAAGGCGGCU